This 400-nucleotide ribosomal RNA is filed under the name uncultured bacterium. RNAcentral's name for it is "bacterial SSU rRNA". It matches the Rfam family "Bacterial small subunit ribosomal RNA", at positions 356 to 773 of the family's 1533-position model. The record is from RNAcentral.
GGGGAAUCUUAGACAAUGGGGGAAACCCUGAUCUAGCCAUGCCGCGUGAGCGAUGAAGGCCUUAGGGUUGUAAAGCUCUUUCAGCUGGGAAGAUAAUGACGGUACCAGCAGAAGAAGCCCCGGCUAACUCCGUGCCAGCAGCCGCGGUAAUACGGAGGGGGCUAGCGUUGUUCGGAAUUACUGGGCGUAAAGCGCGCGUAGGCGGACUGGAAAGUUGGGGGUGAAAUCCCAGGGCUCAACCCUGGAACUGCCUUCAAAACUAUCAGUCUGGAGUUCGAGAGAGGUGAGUGGAAUUCCGAGUGUAGAGGUGAAAUUCGUAGAUAUUCGGAAGAACACCAGUGGCGAAGGCGGCUCACUGGCUCGAUACUGACGCUGAGGUGCGAAAGCGUGGGGAGCAAAC